Long non-coding RNA from Tympanuchus pallidicinctus (lesser prairie-chicken), 2512 nucleotides. RefSeq lists it as uncharacterized. NCBI's taxonomy places the organism in Eukaryota, Metazoa, Chordata, Aves, Galliformes, Phasianidae. The record is from RefSeq and is a predicted model, not a curated record. The transcript has 3 exons.
UCAGAGCUUGGGGCUGUUGCAACAGCUGUUUGUAAACACUGCAAAGCCAGUAUUAGGCUUCUUCUGGGGAAGAAGAAUAUUUUUUUGACUUGUAGCUUCCUGAACCAUCCUUAAAAAUGUUGCAAAUACACUGACACUCCUGCUGUUGAUCUAAAUAGCAACCAGUGUUGGCUUUCAGCUGGGCCAGUGGGCAGGCUCCAUCCUCGCGUCCUCCCGUGUCGGGUGACUCAUCAGCAAGUCUGAGAAUGUGCAGCAGGCUGCGGACCCUGGCAGGAAAGUACAGCAGACAGCAAGAGAGGCCUCUGGGAGCUGACGAGAAUUUGAUCAUGUUCGGCCUGGUGCUAAAAACAAAAUCGAAAAAAAAGAUUAUUGCUAAAAUUGGUGAGUUGGAUUCCAGUGGGAUAUGAUAGGUGGUGAAAGAUAAGCUCCCUCUGAUGCCCAGAAGUACAUUUGGAAAAGGAGUGGCAAAAUGAAUUUCUCCAGAUCCUUCCUCUUCAAUACAUUGUUAAAAGAUUGAAAGGCAAAACUCCUCAGGUUAAUGUCUUUCCAGAUUGGUGCCAUGCUCUGCCCUGCUUCAUAGGUCAACCCAAGAGGUGCUUUUUGGGCUGCACUUCACCUACUCACUCCUCUUCAUUGUUACAGUAAUAAAUUUUUCAGUAUCCUGCUGACUUAUUUGGGCAUAUCUGAGUUGGCCAGUCUAGCUUUCAGAGUUCAACAAGGAGUAUGGAAACACUCAGUGUUCCCUUCCAAUCUCAUGUUAUUACAUAUAACGUGAAUGUCAUGCCACUCGUCAAGCUACAGCAGCAUCUGUCUUGUGAUCCCUGUCAGACUCUGCAAGUCUAGACAUUUUGCCUCUGACAGAAAGUAAAGGUGGCUUAAAUGGGGCAAGGCCAGGGCAGGAGAGUAUGUGUGUUUACCUUGACCCCAAAGUACCUUUAAAAAUGCAUAAAUAAAUAGGAAAAGGUGCAGAAUCCAAUCAUGCGAUCUCAGUGGUGUAAGUUACACAUCAUGUAUCUGUCGGUCAGGAAACAGGUGUAUGUGGGUGUAAGUGCCAAAGCUGUUUGACUUGCAGCAAGUUGGCAUUUAGUGGGAGUGCAGUGUGAGUGUAACAUACACUCCCAGAUAUGGAAUAACAAGUGAGGGGGAUGUAGUGAAGCAACUAGAUCAUCAAAGAGUUAAGCAAAUUUGCAGUACCCACAGGAAAAAAAGAAAAAUUCAAGAUACUGCAUAUUUCACUGUUGAUUUUUUUUUUUUUUUCCAUUCAUGUCCACAGUGUCAAAUCUGCUGUUGAUUGUGCAGAGGGACUGCACAAGCUCCCUACUGUUAUUCUUAGUACCACUUCUGCCCCCCUUGAAUCGGCAUCUAGAACAGCUGCAAGAUAUUUUGCAACCAGACGCAGGUUUCCUCUUCCUGUUCUCUGAGCCAACCAGAUGCAAACUGGCCUCAAACCAGAAGCCAUGUAGCUACAGUUAGCAGGCACACAGCCCAAGCUAACAAGCCUUGCUGAGAAGGCAGGAUGUAUUUGCUCAGGCUCAGCACUGUGCUACUGCAGCUACACAGUCUCUGCUGAGCUCAGAGUACAGGCAAUGCCUGUUCCUGGCUACCAGGACCGCAGGCAAAAGCUACUGAUAUCACUAUGAGAAGUAGAAGAAAUGUCAGAAAGUUAUGGAUUUCACCUUUGGCUCUUAAAUAAACCAGAGGGCCCCUACAACAGUUUUUUGAGACACAUAUUUUAAUACAUGCAUACGUAUAUAUAUAUAUGUAUAUAUAUAUAUAUAUAUAUAUAUAUCUUGAAUAUAUAUAUGGGUCCUGGUGCAGGUUUCAGGAACUCCUAGCAGCAGGAGGCCAGUAGGCCAGUAAAAUAAUCUGGAAGUGGAUACAAUGGGUAAUCUUUUGUGCCUUCUGAAUCAUCUCAACAGCAUUUUGUAUAUUCUGUGUUCUGGCAUAAAUAAUCACCUGGACAGGAAAAGGAGCAAAAAAAAUCAACUUGAAAAAUGCUAUACUGCCUUGGUAGAAGAGAAGGGAAAUUGAGGGAGAUCUCCAAAGAUUUGAAAAUGCUUGUAAUAAGCACUUACAUUUUUUCAGUAAAUUUGCCCAUCAGUAGUCAAAGGUCUUAUUCACGUAUCACGUGUAUUUUCCCUGAUAAAAUUGCCUUUUCUUCUGGAAGAUGCAUCUCAUUUUAAAUUGCUGCCAACUCUAAUCAAAACCACCUACGCAACAAUACUGAGUUUUUUUUUCCCACCUCAGUCUCCUAAAAGAUUUUCUUUUAGGAUUGCACAAAAUUGCACAUAAGAAAUUCAAUACAUAGGGAUAAAAGAAUUUAAAUGAACAAGGCCCAGGUCCCAUGUAUGUGUAUUUCAGUGCUCCAGCACCAUUUCUGGCAGACACUUGAAGAUUUACCCAAUGAUUAAGGUGUUCCCCUGCUACACAUAGAUCUUUCACAGCGUUAGAAGCUUUCUUUCCUCUGAUUACACUGGGUUUUAAUUUAUUUUUCUGCGUGGAGUAAUUUUUC